UUUUUAUAAGGAUAACUACGGAAAAGCUGUAGCUAAUACUUGCUUUAAUGCGUUUGAUUCAUUUUUGUGUCUUGCGUAUGUACUUGUUAAGCCUUUAAGAAAAAAGUUUACAACUUAAGGAAUUAUAACAAAGAAGUAACACAUAAUAAGUUUACCUUAUUUAGUGUGUAUCAAUCGAGUUUCUGACCUAUCAGCUUUUGAUGUUAGGGUAUUGGCCUAACAUGGCUAUGACGGGUA
Molecule: ribosomal RNA, 237 nt
Filed under: Plasmodium ovale wallikeri
Lineage: Eukaryota; Apicomplexa; Aconoidasida; Haemosporida; Plasmodiidae
Description: partial small subunit ribosomal RNA
Rfam family: Eukaryotic small subunit ribosomal RNA
Source: RNAcentral